Tympanuchus pallidicinctus (lesser prairie-chicken) is the source of this 393-nucleotide long non-coding RNA. RefSeq lists it as uncharacterized. Lineage: Eukaryota; Metazoa; Chordata; Aves; Galliformes; Phasianidae. The transcript has 2 exons. The record is from RefSeq and is a predicted model, not a curated record.
UCUUGCUCCUGGCCUUGUUAAUUAAUGCAAAUGACCUUGAAGCCUAAUUACUCAAAGUCACAGUGAAAGCCUUGGAGCAGGGCUGAGGCAAUGCCCUGGCAUGGGUUUGUUGAGAGACAGUGCAGCAGUGUUGUGUCGAUGGCUUUCACCUGGUGUUCAGGUUCCAUAAAGUUGAGUCUAAAAUCUCCUGUGCAGUGUUACACAGAAGAGACACCAAGUCUUGCCACUAGGAUUACUUCUGCUCUCCACCGCAGCUCUCCCUAGCACUUGAGCAGUGGGUUGAUGGAUGGAUGUCUCAGGUGUCAAUCUUUGAACAGAGGAGAAAUCCAGUUCCUGAAAGGUGCUUGGAUGUAACCAAGUUCUUAGUUACCUCUUGCCACAAGAUAUCCAGUU